Molecule: non-coding RNA, 134 nt
Filed under: Muricomes intestini
Lineage: Bacteria; Bacillati; Bacillota; Clostridia; Lachnospirales; Lachnospiraceae
Source: RNAcentral
UAACCAGUGAAAGUCCGGUCAAGGUAAUUGCCAGUGAGCCUUGUAGCAAGCCUCCAGUGCUCUUGGGUGACUAAUUGUGCUGAAACGAGGUAGACCUAUGUGAAAUAGGUGCAAAUUAACAGUCCGUAACAUUA